CCCAGUUACUGAUAGCAACAGUAGUCUAGAGGGCAAUUUUUUCUGGACUGCAACUUCAGAUAUAAUUAGUACUCUCAGGAACAAACACCCUACUCUCCCCAAGGGAAAAAGUUGGCAAAGCGAAAUGGUGGCAUCUAUCUCCUCGUUAAAACAUCAGAUUGACAAAGUCCAUGUGCUCCUCUGUUUCAAAAAGUUCCAGCUCUUUUAAACAUUGACAUUCUUAUCAUUUUGUGUGCUUGGUGCUGGCCACUGGCUAACAGUGUCUGUGUGGAUUUCUCUUUGAGUAUCUUUCCCCAUCAACUGAUAAGCGAGUCCCUCCUUGAGUUUCUGGAGGAGGGCGCUGCUUCAGAGAGAAAGCUGAGACGGGACCUCAUUUGCUUAAGUGAAUCCUCUAUGGUUUCUCUGCACUGUUCCUCCUGUGGAAAGAUCCUGUAAGGGAACCUGCUCACUUUUUUAAAGACCACCAACAUUCCAAGGUAGGAGUGGAGGGAGCAUUUCAGAUGGGAAGGGCUGUACCUCCUUUAUUCUCAUCGUCAUUACCACCCCUGCAGGAGACAGACCCGCCCCCAGGGGGAAAGGGGAUUCUCCACAGAAGCAGAGCCAAUCAGGGCUAUCUAUCUAUAUCAGGGCUGCUAUGAAAUGAGAAACUUUGCUCUACCACACCCUUCUGCCAUGACGUUCCUGC
Molecule: long non-coding RNA, 685 nt
Organism: Heterocephalus glaber (naked mole-rat)
Lineage: Eukaryota; Metazoa; Chordata; Mammalia; Rodentia; Bathyergidae
Source: Ensembl